Molecule: ribosomal RNA, 391 nt
Filed under: uncultured bacterium
Lineage: Bacteria
Description: bacterial SSU rRNA
Rfam family: Bacterial small subunit ribosomal RNA
Source: RNAcentral
AACGAACGCUGGCGGCGUGGAUAAGACAUGCAAGUCGAACGGGAUAACAUCUGUAGCAAUACAGGUGUUAUUUAGUGGCGAACGGGUGCGUAACACGUGGGCAAUCUGCCGAGAAGUGGGGGAUAGCUCGCCGAAAGGCGAAUUAAUACCGCAUAUGAUCAGCUAAGACAUCUUAGCGACAUCAAAGCCGGGGCAACCUGGCGCUUCUUGAUGAGCCCGCGGCCUAUCAGCUAGUUGGUGAGGUAACGGCUCACCAAGGCUAUGACGGGUAGCUGGUCUGAGAGGACGACCAGUCACACUGGAACUGAGACACGGUCCAGACACCUACGGGUGGCAGCAGUGGGAAUCUUGCGCAAUGCGCGAAAGCGUGACGCAGCAACGCCGCGUGGGG